This 869-nucleotide small RNA is filed under the name Pan troglodytes (chimpanzee). Its description in RNAcentral is "processed transcript". Lineage: Eukaryota; Metazoa; Chordata; Mammalia; Primates; Hominidae. The record is from RNAcentral.
ACAGCCCCUGGACAAGAAAGCUGCAGUGUCUUGGUUGACCCCUGCCCCUUCAAAAAAGGCUGAUUCUGUUGCUGCUAAAGUAGAUUUGCUGGGGGAGUUCCAGAGUGCCCUUCCAAAGAUCAAUAGCCACCCAACCCGCUCUCAGAAGAGCUCCCAGAAGAAAUCCUCUAAAAAGAACCAUCCUCAGAAGAAUGCCCCACAGAACUCCACCCAAGCUCAUUCAGAGAAUAAAUGCUCCGGAGCAUCCCAGAAGUUGCCACGGAAGAUGGUGGCAAUUGACUGUGAGAUGGUGGGCACAGGACCAAAGGGGCAUGUUAGUUCCUUGGCUCGAUGUAGCAUUGUCAACUACAACGGAGAUGUGCUUUAUGACGAGUACAUUCUUCCCCCCUGCCACAUUGUGGACUACCGAACCAGGUGGAGUGGUAUCCGGAAGCAGCACAUGGUGAAUGCCACACCCUUCAAGAUUGCUCGAGGCCAGAUCUUGAAGAUACUCACAGGGAAGAUAGUGGUGGGGCAUGCCAUCCACAACGACUUCAAAGCCCUUCAGUACUUUCACCCCAAGUCCCUCACCCGUGACACCUCCCAUAUCCCCCCCCUCAACCGGAAGGCUGACUGCCCGGAGAAUGCCACCAUGUCUCUGAAGCAUCUCACCAAGAAGCUGCUAAACCGGGAUAUCCAGGUAGCAUCUCCCCACAUCCCCCACCCCCAUCUUGGACAUGGCUCUCGUUGAUGCCCCUAGCCAGACUCUGAUCUCAGAAGUCCUGUGGUUGUAGAGAUCCAGGUGGGCUGCUGUGAUGGGAAGAGCUCCAUCUGUACACAGGAUAAUAAUUCCUGUUGUCUACCUCAUAGAAUGUUUCACAGUGUGCUUU